GAGUUGAUCCUGGCUCAGGAUGAACGCUGGCGGCGUGCUUAACACAUGCAAGUCGAACGUGAUCCGGAGCUUGCUCCGGUGAAAGUGGCGCACGGGUGAGUAACGCGUGGAUAAUCUGCCCUGGUAUCUGGGAUAACAUCUCGAAAGGGGUGCUAAUACCGGAUAAGCCUACGGACUCCUCGGAGUCUGCAGGAAAAGGUGGCCUCUAUUUAUAAGCUACCGUAUCAGGAUGAGUCCGCGUACCAUUAGCUAGUUGGUGGGGUAAUGGCCCACCAAGGCUACGAUGGUUAGCUGGUCUGAGAGGAUGAUCAGCCACACUGGAACUGAGACACGGUCCAGACUCCUACGGGAGGCAGCAGUGGGGAAUUUUGCGCAAUGGGGGAAACCCUGACGCAGCAACGCCGCGUGGGGGAUGAAGGCUUUCGGGUUGUAAAGCACUUUAAGUUGGGAGGAAGGGUAGUAACUUAAUACGUUGCUAUUUUGACGUUACCGACAGAAUAAGCACCGGCUAACUUCGUGCCAGCAGCCGCGGUAAUAC
RNAcentral lists this ribosomal RNA (538 nucleotides) under uncultured Geobacteraceae bacterium. RNAcentral's name for it is "bacterial SSU rRNA". It matches the Rfam family "Bacterial small subunit ribosomal RNA", at positions 9 to 526 of the family's 1533-position model. The record is from RNAcentral. Lineage: Bacteria; Pseudomonadati; Thermodesulfobacteriota; Desulfuromonadia; Geobacterales; Geobacteraceae.